RNAcentral lists this unclassified non-coding RNA (219 nucleotides) under Hevea brasiliensis (rubber tree). Lineage: Eukaryota; Viridiplantae; Streptophyta; Magnoliopsida; Malpighiales; Euphorbiaceae. The record is from RNAcentral.
GCAAACUAAACCAAAUUAGCCUCAAGCUAUUUUGGUUAUGGGGAGUCCAGUUUUAAGCACAGUUCAGCAUAUAGCCUGCCAAUUUGAUAUUCAUACUCUUAGGUGCAAAAUUCAACAUACAGAAAGAAGGGAUCAUCAUGAUCACUAAGUAUUGUUCUUUCAAGAAUGAAAGUUAAGUGCAGCACCUUUUUUUACGGAUUGUAUUUUGAUGGAUUGUGG